GUCACGAUCAGAAUGAAAGGUAGUUCGGCUGGGUAUGUGUCCCAGAGGUGCUGGUUCGAAUCCAGCUCGUGACA
RNAcentral lists this transfer RNA (74 nucleotides) under Pereskia aculeata. Its description in RNAcentral is "tRNA-Thr". It matches the Rfam family "tRNA". Rfam says of the family: Transfer RNA (tRNA) molecules are approximately 80 nucleotides in length. Their secondary structure includes four short double-helical elements and three loops (D, anti-codon, and T loops). Further hydrogen bonds mediate the characteristic L-shaped molecular structure. tRNAs have two regions of fundamental functional importance: the anti-codon, which is responsible for specific mRNA codon recognition, and the 3' end, to which the tRNAs corresponding amino acid is attached (by aminoacyl-tRNA synthetases). tRNAs cope with the degeneracy of the genetic code in two manners: having more than one tRNA (with a specific anti-codon) for a particular amino acid; and 'wobble' base-pairing, i.e. permitting non-standard base-pairing at the 3rd anti-codon position. The record is from RNAcentral. RNAcentral also lists the same sequence under 2 other names. Lineage: Eukaryota; Viridiplantae; Streptophyta; Magnoliopsida; Caryophyllales; Cactaceae.